CACAUACCAGUCAAUCUACUGAGCCGCAUAGUUACCCCCAAUAGUUGUCUAUGUUCUUUAGCAAUGAGUCAUUUUUGCUACUUCCAAAUUCACAUCCAAUAUAUCCGAUCAGUCAUUGAUUUACUUCUCUUCUAUUUCCAUAGUAUUUUUCACAUUGAUUCCCUACUUAGCAUUUCUACUACCAUCACCCCAGUUUAUCUCAUUACUCCAGGGUAUGUAAUCAGAAUAUAGUAGUUUCCUUACAAGUCUGUUUGCCUAUUGAAAUGGAUUGGUAUGAUAUAAUUUUAUGACAAAUGACCCAUACAACAUACUCAGCAUUAAUAAUGUUUCCUAAUUUUAUUCUAGUUAUUAUAGCAUAUAGUAGGACUAAUAUCUACCAAGAUUUUCCCACAAAAUGGGAUAGAUACUUGCUCCUUUCCUCUCAUGACAGGGAUUAAUUUUCCCUAAAAGGAGACAAUACAGUUCUAAUUAGCUAAUUCAUUUAUUUAUUUAUUUUUGUCAUAGCUGUGUGGUUCCCUAAAGGCAUGAAAAAUCCAAACAAUUUGCAGUUGCUACCCUUCUGAUUUGGACUUGUCAAAAUUACGGAAGUUGACAUGUUCUUCAUCCUAGCCUGUUGCCCAGGUGGUUUUCCAUGGAAAAAAGGGAGAUAUAUCCAGAAGUUAAGUACAACUGGCCAGGCCCUAGAGGCUGGCAGAGGGUUUUCCCACUUCCGUCUACUCUAUAUCAGUCCAGUUUUUCUUUUUAGAAUCUUAGCAGUAGACAGAAAGCAAACAAGAACAGAUCUGACCUUCAGAAGCCUGUGUCUUCGGGCUGAACCAAGAAGAGCAUGUCACUCCAGACUUGGCUGAACAAGCUCCUCUCUCCUCCAACACCCAGAAGUAAGUCCCAACUCAGCAGGAAGGAAGUGCUAGUCACAAGACC
RNAcentral lists this long non-coding RNA (921 nucleotides) under Monodelphis domestica (gray short-tailed opossum). RNAcentral's name for it is "lncRNA (ENSMODG00000036779.1)". Lineage: Eukaryota; Metazoa; Chordata; Mammalia; Didelphimorphia; Didelphidae. The record is from RNAcentral.